GGCGCAGCAGUCGCGAAUCUUUCACAAUGGGGGCAACCCUGAUGGAGCGACGCCGCGUGGAGGAUAAGGUCUUCGGAUUGUAAACUCCUGUCAUGCGAGAACAAGGUACUCAGGUUAACAACCUGAUUGUUUGAUGGUACCGCAAGAGGAAGAGACGGCUAACUCUGUGCCAGCAGCCGCGGUAAUACAGAGGUCUCAAGCGUUGUUCGGAAUCACUGGGCGUAAAGGGUGCGUAGGCUGCGCCGUAAGUCAGAUGUGAAAGCUCAGGGCUCAACCCUGAAAUUGCAUCCGAUACUGCGGUGCUUGAGAAAUGAAGGGGAGUCUAGAAUUUUCGGUGUAGCAGUGAAAUGCGUAGAUAUCGAAAGGAAUACCAAAGGCGAAGGCAGGACUCUGGGCAUUUUCUGACGCUGAUGCACGAAGGCCAGGGUAGCGAACGGGAUUAGAUACCCUAGUAC
RNAcentral lists this ribosomal RNA (455 nucleotides) under uncultured bacterium. Its description in RNAcentral is "bacterial SSU rRNA". It matches the Rfam family "Bacterial small subunit ribosomal RNA", at positions 345 to 793 of the family's 1533-position model. The record is from RNAcentral.